This 225-nucleotide long non-coding RNA is filed under the name Nicotiana benthamiana. RNAcentral's name for it is "long non-coding RNA (NBEN_LNC015906)". Lineage: Eukaryota; Viridiplantae; Streptophyta; Magnoliopsida; Solanales; Solanaceae. The record is from RNAcentral.
AAGAAAAACACUCCCUCUUGGAGAGUUCACCAACACAUUUAUAAUCAUUUUCCCAUUCCGUGCUGUCCACUUAUCCAUCAUAAUGGAACAACCAAACUUCUCAAUAAUUUGGUCUACCUUCUUCACCUCCUUUUUAAGAUAGUUACUCUAACUUCAUGAUAACUAGGAGGCUUCAUCCCCGGGCCAUAUUGUCCUACAGCCUCAAUAAAUUUAUCAAAAGUUUUG